Nanorana parkeri is the source of this 187-nucleotide long non-coding RNA. RefSeq lists it as uncharacterized. The transcript has 3 exons. The record is from RefSeq and is a predicted model, not a curated record. Lineage: Eukaryota; Metazoa; Chordata; Amphibia; Anura; Dicroglossidae.
UGUUGGGGCUGUCGGACUGCACGGCUCCCCCUGCUCUCCCUCCCUCCGAUCUGCUUUAUGUGGGACGCUAGAGGAAGCGUCAUCUCCCGUCAAACCUCGUCCAGACACCCGCCCCUUCCACAGCCCGGACGGGGGAGGAGACAAGGGCGACACUGACAAUUACACAUCGCUUAUCAGUGAUGGGAGG